Molecule: long non-coding RNA, 444 nt
Filed under: Salvia miltiorrhiza (redroot sage)
Lineage: Eukaryota; Viridiplantae; Streptophyta; Magnoliopsida; Lamiales; Lamiaceae
Description: long non-coding RNA (SMIL_LNC008510)
Source: RNAcentral
AUCGGCAACAGCGAGUAGAGCCUCAUCGCCUCCGACGUCGCCGCCUGUAGGUAGUGCAUCCGCCGCAACUUGUCGUAGUUGUAAACGUCUCUGAUCUGAUUAUUUGAUCGGCGAAUUCGUGAGCUGUCGCGAUCACUUCUCGAAGCUUCUUCUCCGAUCUGAUGAUUUAGGCCUGGAUCGUCUCGAUGCCUUUGAAAUCGAAGAUUCUCGCUGAACACAGAUUGUCGCUGGAGGUGUUGAUUUCUAGCGAUGAAAUUGGGCGUAGAUGCCUCUGACUGCACGUAACAAAAUUUCCUACUAAUUAAUUACUACACCUCAAAAUUGGAGGUAAUUGACUUUAUGGUGAUGCGGUGCAGUGGAGGUAAUUACCUCAAAAUGGAUGUAUUUGAUUUUAUGGUGAAAUUGAGCGUAGAUGCCUCUCUCUCUCUCUCUCUCUCUCUCUCU